Molecule: small nuclear RNA, 86 nt
Filed under: Propithecus coquereli (Coquerel's sifaka)
Lineage: Eukaryota; Metazoa; Chordata; Mammalia; Primates; Indriidae
Source: RNAcentral
GCCACUUCAAUAGCAUGAACUAAAAUUGGAAUGAUACAGAGAAGAUUAGCAUAGAGCCUGUACAAAUUGAAGCAUUCCAUUUUUAU